AGCGAACGCUGGCGGCAGGCCUAACACAUGCAAGUCGAACGAACUCUUCGGAGUUAGUGGCGGACGGGUGAGUAACACGUGGGAACGUGCCUUUUGGUUCGGAAUAACUCAGGGAAACUUGUGCUAAUACCGAAUGUGCCCUUCGGGGGAAAGAUUUAUCGCCAUUAGAGCGGCCCGCGUCUGAUUAGCUAGUUGGUGAGGUAACGGCUCACCAAGGCGACGAUCAGUAGCUGGUCUGAGAGGAUGACCAGCCACACUGGGACUGAGACACGACCCAGACGAAGACGGGAGGAAGCAGUGGUGAAUGAUGCGGAAUGGUCGAAAGUCUGACAAAGCCAUGCCGCGUGAAUGAUAAAGGUCUUAGGAGUGGAAAAGUCUUCCACCAGGGACGAUAAUGACGGUACGCUGAGAAGCAGGCCCGGCUAACUUCGUC
RNAcentral lists this ribosomal RNA (433 nucleotides) under uncultured bacterium. RNAcentral's name for it is "partial 16S ribosomal RNA". It matches the Rfam family "Bacterial small subunit ribosomal RNA", at positions 29 to 507 of the family's 1533-position model. The record is from RNAcentral.